AACGAACGCUGGCGGCGUGGAUAAGACAUGCAAGUCGAGCGCUGAUUGUGGGGUAGCAAUAUUCCGCAGUCGGAGCGGCGCAAGGGUGCGUAACACGUGGGCAAUUUGCCGUGAAGUUGGGGAUAACUCCGAGAAAUCGGAGCUAAUACCGAAUGUGGUAGCUGGAAGGCAUCUUCUGGCUUCUAAAGUUGGGGACCGAAAGGCCCGACGCUUUACGAUAAGCCCGCGGCCUAUCAGGUAGUUGGCGGGGUAACAGCCCACCAAGCCUAAGACGGGUAGCUGGUCUGAGAGGACGACCAGCCACACUGGAACUGAGACACGGUCCAGACACCUACGGGUGGCAGCAGUCGAGAAUUUUUCACAAUGGGCGCAAGCCUGAUGGAGCGACGCCGCGUGGGGGAUGAAUGGCUUCGGCCCGUAAACCCCUGUCAUUCGGGAUCAAUGCGCUUGGUCGAAUAUUCCAAGCGUUGAUAGUACCGGAAGAGGGAAGGGACGGCGU
Molecule: ribosomal RNA, 499 nt
Filed under: uncultured bacterium
Lineage: Bacteria
Description: bacterial SSU rRNA
Rfam family: Bacterial small subunit ribosomal RNA
Source: RNAcentral